CUUAAUGCAGUGGUUUGCUUUGCUUUGUCUUGACCAAAAGACAGUAAACAAAUGGAUAAGGAAAGGAAUGGUUUAUUAAUGCUCCUUUGACAUAGAUAGUUACUUGGAGAGUUUUAACACAUUAUCAGCAUGACUAGAUUUGUGUAAAAAAAGAUUGUUAGUGGUUUGCAUAGCAUAAUUUUUAUGAGAUUAUCUUAUCCAUUAAUAACAGAUUUUUCAUUUUCUUUCUAGAUGACAUCUGCUGAAAUUGGUACUUCUGUAUCUACAAAGAUGCCCAGAAGGAGUAGAGCAAUUUGUAAGCCUGAGAUGCCUAACGUUACCAGGACUACAAGAAAAAGGCAAAGCAGAAAGAAGUUACAACCAGAUCCAGUCUGUGAAGCCCAGAGUGAAGAUAUUUCUGAUGCAGAGUCUUGCUGUUUUCAUAUGGAACAGCCCAUUACUACCAAACGACUUACUAGGAGCAUGCAAAUGAAAGCACAAGCAGAAAAUAAUGAGGAAGUAAACAGAAUUGUUUCAGAAAAUGAUAAUUUAAUUGAGGACACAGUUAAAUCUGAUCCAUUAGUAAUUUCUGAUUCUAGACCUGCUCCACAAUUAGUCUCUGACAACAAAGAUGCUUCCUCUGUCACCGCACAUAAUAAAGAAUCCAGUUCAUCUACAAGCAAAUGUUCUUCCAAAUCUGCUAAUGCAACCGUAAAUGAAGAUGUGAAACAAGACUUUUUGAAUGAUAUAACACCCAGUAGUCUUAAAAAAAUGAAACAAAGUAGUAAUACUGAAUCGCCCAGAAAAAAAACAAUAAAAGAUGCACAAAUUCUUGGGGUAGAUGAUUCAGAAGAAGAAUGUGACAAAAUUCAGGAAGAGCACAGUAAAAUACUCGUGAGGGGAGUGAAAUUAAAGAAUAUGGAUCUUUGUUCAACUGAUUGCAUGAGUCCCAAACAAUUGUUAGAAUCCAAAGGGCAAGUAACAUCAAAUGAAAGUAAAAAAGUUCCAGAAUACAAAAGAAUAGAUGCUGAGGCAGCGGUAGAGAGGUCUUUUGCCCAUGCAAGUGAAUUAAGAAAGGAUGAACAAUCUAGUGCAGUGAGCAGCCCACGAGAGGCAUGCACCUGUUACACAAAUAACUGACAGCGUUGCUGGUAGAUGUAGGAAUGCUUGAAAUCAGUGUGGACAGUGGCUGAAGACCAAACAGGAGAAUAUGCUGAUUCUGUAUCCCACAGCAGUGAAAGAUCAAGCAGUGGAAAUAAUUCCCUUACAUUGUUUCUGAGCAAAGAUGAAAGCGAUGAAUCUGAAAAUAGUGAUGUGGCAGACACAGAUACAGUGGAAGAGAGUAAGAGUUACAUGGAGGCAGAUGAAAGGACUCCUUCCAUGACCAAACCUUUAAAAAAGAAUUCACUGCAUGUUGAAGGGCUUUUUGUGAUUGAUACUGAGCCUGGCAUGGGUUCCAACCAAAAGUAUUAUCUAGAUCAGGUAGACCAAGCUAGUGAUGUUGAAAGUAAAUAUGAAGGAAAUGAAAAAGUUGAAGAAUCCUCAGAUCUAGAAGAGGCUGAAGAAGAACUGAUAGAUGAAGAUGAGAAAGAUGAAGAUGAUGAUUUAUUGAAAAAUAAAAUUGAUGUGUAAGUAUCUUUCUGGGAGUAACUAAGAAAAUCUGCAUUAUAUUUGAGCAUAUUCACAUGACAUGCAUUAUGUGCUCAGUGACAUAGAAAAAACUGAGGGAGUAGUGUUGUCAUAGAUGUGGAAAUGGAUUGCUCAGAUUAUCAGAGUUAUAAUUCAGUUAUUUUUUCAGGUUUACGUGGAGCAGAACAGAAGUGUCAGAAAUAUUUAGGUAUCUUGAAGCCUUGUAUGUGUUUAGCAUUAAAAAAAAUAAAAAUGUGAAACUGGCUUAAACUGGUCAGGCUGACUUAAUUGCUGUUUCAGAGCAAAGGUUUUUAUUUAUUUAAAUUGAGGGGGGUAUAAAUAAUGGAAGUCUAAUAAAUCACUUGCAUGUUAUUUAAUUAGGUCAAGCUUUUUAAUCCUAAACAUGUGCAUAAGCUUUUACCGUUUACAGUUCUUGUUUUCACAGGAUGGCUCAGGGAAGAUAUAGAUUGUGACAUUGUAACACCUCAAGCAAAAACAGCCCAGCCUAAAAUUACAGAAUAAUUUAGGCUGGAUGGAACCUCUUAAACUCAUUUAGUCCAACUCCCUGCUAAAGCCCCUUUACAUGCUUCGUGUGUUUAAAGCAUAAUACUCUGUUUAGGUCUGAUAAAUUUAAGGCUUACUCUUCUAAGAAACAUUCAGGUGGGUCAGAAGUCUUACAAAAGACAGGUAUUCUGUGUAAAGGUGUUACAGAUUAUUAGUUCAUAACGUAUAUAAACAUUCAAGCUACAAUAAAUACCAGAUACCAGUUUAGAUG
RNAcentral lists this long non-coding RNA (2383 nucleotides) under Anas platyrhynchos (mallard). Its description in RNAcentral is "lncRNA (ENSAPLG00020011339.1)". The record is from RNAcentral. Lineage: Eukaryota; Metazoa; Chordata; Aves; Anseriformes; Anatidae.